This 496-nucleotide ribosomal RNA is filed under the name uncultured bacterium. Its description in RNAcentral is "partial 16S ribosomal RNA". It matches the Rfam family "Bacterial small subunit ribosomal RNA", at positions 29 to 507 of the family's 1533-position model. The record is from RNAcentral.
AUGAACGCUGGCGGCGUGCCUAAUACAUGCAAGUCGAGCGAACAGACGAGGAGCUUGCUCCUCUGACGUUAGCGGCGGACGGGUGAGUAACACGUGGAUAACCUACCUAUAAGACUGGGAUAACUUCGGGAAACCGGAGCUAAUACCGGAUAAUAUAUUGAACCGCAUGGUUCAAUAGUGAAAGACGGUUUUGCUGUCACUUAUAGCUGGAUCCGCGCCGCAUUAGCUAGUUGGUAAGGUAACGGCUUACCAAGGCGACGAUGCGUAGCCGACCUGAGAGGGUGAUCGGCCACACUGGAACUGAGACACGGUCCAGACUCCUACGGGAGGCAGCAGUAGCGAAUCUUCCGCAAUGGGCGAAAGCCUGACGGAGCAACGCCGCGUGAGUGAUGAAGGUCUUCGGAUCGUAAAACUCUGUUAUUAGGGAAGAACAAAUGUGUAAGUAACUAUGCACGUCUUGACGGUACCUAAUCAGAAAGCCACGGCUAACUACGUG